UCCUACGGGAGGCAGCAGUAGGGAAUCUUCCGCAAUGGACGAAAGUCUGACGGAGCAACGCCGCGUGAGUGAUGAAGGCUUUCGGGUCGUAAAACUCUGUUGUUAGGGAAGAACAAGUGCGAGAGUAACUGCUCGCACCUUGACGGUACCUAACCAGAAAGCCACGGCUAACUACGUGCCAGCAGCCGCGGUAAUACGUAGGUGGCAAGCGUUGUCCGGAAUUAUUGGGCGUAAAGGGCUCGCAGGCGGUUUCUUAAGUCUGAUGUGAAAGCCCCCGGCUCAACCGGGGAGGGUCAUUGGAAACUGGGAAACUUGAGUGCAGAAGAGGAGAGUGGAAUUCCACGUGUAGCGGUGAAAUGCGUAGAGAUGUGGAGGAACACCAGUGGCGAAGGCGACUCUCUGGUCUGUAACUGACGCUGAGGAGCGAAAGCGUGGGGAGCGAACAGGAUUAGAUACCCUGGUAGUCCACGCCGUAAACGAUGAGUGCUAAGUGUUAGGGGGUUUCCGCCCCUUAGUGCUGCAGCUAACGCAUUAAGCACUCCGCCUGGGGAGUACGGUCGCAAGAUUAAAACUCAAAGGAAUUGACGGA
RNAcentral lists this ribosomal RNA (589 nucleotides) under uncultured bacterium. RNAcentral's name for it is "bacterial SSU rRNA". It matches the Rfam family "Bacterial small subunit ribosomal RNA", at positions 337 to 917 of the family's 1533-position model. The record is from RNAcentral.